Molecule: ribosomal RNA, 301 nt
Filed under: uncultured bacterium
Lineage: Bacteria
Description: partial 16S ribosomal RNA
Rfam family: Bacterial small subunit ribosomal RNA
Source: RNAcentral
CAGUAGCCGCGGGAAUACGAAGGGGGCUAGCGUUGUUCGGAAUUACUGGGCGUAAAGCGCACGCAGGCGGCUCGAUAAAUUAGAAGUGAAAGCCUUGGGCUUAACCUGAGAAUUGCUUUUAAGACUGUCGAGCUAGAAUCCAGAAGAGGGUAGUGGAAUUCCGAGUGUAGAGGUGAAAUUCGUAGAUAUUCGGAAGAACACCAGUGGCGAAGGCGACUACCUGGUCUGGCAUUGACGCUCAUGUGCGAAAGCGUGGGGAGCAAACAGGAUUAGAUACCCGAGUAGUCCCUGUCUCUUAUAA